Molecule: ribosomal RNA, 470 nt
Filed under: uncultured bacterium
Lineage: Bacteria
Description: bacterial SSU rRNA
Rfam family: Bacterial small subunit ribosomal RNA
Source: RNAcentral
GACGAACGCUGGCGGCGUGCUUAACACAUGCAAGUCGAACGAGGUCCAACCAGUCGCAAGACUGGGGAAAACCUAGUGGCGAACGGGUGCGUAACACGUGAGAAACCUGUCCCGGUCUCUGGAAUAACAAGUGGAAACACUUGCUAAUACUGGAUGCCGUCGGACCAUCGCAUGGUGGUCUGACGAAAGGGUUACCGGAUCGGGAGGGUCUCGCGGCCUAUCAGCUUGUUGGUGAGGUAACGGCUCACCAAGGCAUCGACGGGUAGCUGGUCUGAGAGGAUGAUCAGCCACACUGGGACUGAGACACGGCCCAGACUCCUACGGGAGGCAGCAGUGGGGAAUCUUGCACAAUGGGCGAAAGCCUGAUGCAGCAACGCCGCGUGCGGGAAGAAGGCCCUAGGGUUGUAAACCGCUUUCAGCAGGGAAGAAGAUGACGGUACCUGUAGAAGAAGGUGCGGCCAACUACGUGC